AUACGGAAGGUCCGGGCGUUAUCCGGAUUUAUUGGGUUUAAAGGGAGCGCAGGCGGAGAUGCAAGCGUGACGUCAAAUUUCGGGGCUCAACCCCGUCUCGCGUCGCGAACUGCGUCCCUUGGUUGCGGGAAGGGGAGGCGGAACUCGUGGUGUAGCGGGGAAAUGCAUAGAUAUCACGAAGAACUCCGAUCGCGAAGGCAGCCUUCCGGCCCGUCAACGACGCUCAUGCUCGAAGGUGCGGGUAUCAAACAGGAUUAGAUACCCUGGUAGUCCGCACAGUAAACGAUGGACACCCGCGGUUUGGCCUGUAUGGCUGAGCCGCCAAGCGAAAGCGUUAAGUGUCCCACCUGGGGAGUACGCCGACAACGGUGAAACUCAAAGGAAUUGACGGGG
RNAcentral lists this ribosomal RNA (393 nucleotides) under uncultured bacterium. Its description in RNAcentral is "partial 16S ribosomal RNA". It matches the Rfam family "Bacterial small subunit ribosomal RNA", at positions 523 to 918 of the family's 1533-position model. The record is from RNAcentral.